AUUCCAGCUCCAAUAGCGUAUAUUAAAGUUGUUGCAGUUAAAAAGCUCGUAGUUGGAGUUCAGAGUGAGCUCAAUCGGUCGGGAUUAUGUCUCAGAACUGGUUGACUCUCUCUUGUUUGUGGAUCCUGUUCGGAGUUAACUCUUCGGAUGUGGAGUCCACAUCGUUUACCUUGAAAAAAUUAGAGUGUUCAAAGCAGGCGUUUGCUUGAAUAUAUUAGCAUGGAAUAAUGGAAUAGGACGUUGGUUCUAUUUUGUUGGUUUUGAGAACCAGAGUAAUGAUUAAUAGGGACAGUUGGGGGCAUUCAUAUUUCAUUGUCAGAGGUGAAAUUCUUGGAUUUAUGAAAGAUGAACUUCUGCGAAAGCAUUUGCCAAGGAUGUUUUCAUC
Molecule: ribosomal RNA, 385 nt
Filed under: Telonemia sp.
Lineage: Eukaryota; Telonemia
Description: partial small subunit ribosomal RNA
Rfam family: Eukaryotic small subunit ribosomal RNA
Source: RNAcentral